RNAcentral lists this long non-coding RNA (713 nucleotides) under Olea europaea subsp. europaea. The record is from RNAcentral. Lineage: Eukaryota; Viridiplantae; Streptophyta; Magnoliopsida; Lamiales; Oleaceae.
CUUUCUUUUGAUUUUUCUUCCAAAAAUGGCAGACUUCUCUUCUCUCUCUUUUUGGCGUUUUUUCUCUCUUUGGCGGAGGAAAUUUCAAAUAUAAUUUUAUAUAGUUUUCGGCCAUAUUUUUGGUAGUAAGGCCAGUAUUCCGAGCCGGUGAUCUGGUGGUUAUUUUACAGUUGGCUGACCAGUAUUUUGUGUUUUUCGACAGCGGGUUUUUUUGUCCGUUUGGUCAGAUUUUUAGACUGUAAAUUGAUAUUACUUUGGAGUCCAGGUUAGGGUCGAUUAGGGCUAAUAUUAUGAGGCUAUUUGUAAAGCCGAUGAUCUGAUUUUCUUGGUGUAAAUCUGAAUCUUGUAAAACGAACUCGUGUUCUUUCUUGGGAGGUUCUUUGCAUAGUGACGGAUUUGGGCUUUUUGCCUCUGAGGCCCCUAGAUUAUGCUUGGCCGAAUUGAGUGAGCAAUUUGUGCAUUCUUUAAUUUUCUGCAUGAUUUUUAUUACUACUGUGGUUGAGAAUUGGUGAUUGAAACCACGCAUUGGGUGAAAAAUCCCAACAUAACUGGUAUCAGAGCCUAGUAAGGCAUGGGUAAGGCAUCUGUUAAUACAGUUUAAUUUUUUGUCAUAUUGAUGUGUUUAAUUUGAUCUGUGUAGUCCAAUAAGUAAUUUGAACAGAAGUUCUUGGAGCUAGGGUUUUGGAUUCCGACUCUGUAGUAAAUCACUGGAG